Molecule: long non-coding RNA, 829 nt
Organism: Ictalurus punctatus (channel catfish)
Lineage: Eukaryota; Metazoa; Chordata; Actinopteri; Siluriformes; Ictaluridae
Source: Ensembl
UUUCUGCUUACUGUCCUACUAAAUCUUAUUUCUGUCAGUUUCCACACAGAUCUAGCUGAUUGCUUGAUUGGUCCCGCUUGGCAGGAAAAUGGCCUGUUGAAGUGUGUGAGAAGCAGGUGCAGGACUUGGCCCCAGCAGCCCCAGCCUGUGGCCACGGCACGGAAUAAUAGCAGCAGUGUUUCUACACAGUGGAGCGCUGUCACAACCAGCCACUUGCAAAAAUACGACACGUUUUUCAUAGACGUGUGCGCCGGGAAGGAGAAGCUCAAAGAGCCAGCUGGAAACGUCGACCCUAAAGGUAUAUAUUGCACUACUGUCUGUGCACCACAGACUGGUUAACGGCCUCCUGCUGCGAGCGUAAAAACUAAACAAAACCUUCUUAAAGGUGCAGAACGUCUCCGCUCCUAACGCAAAGCAGUAGUUCCACAGUGGAUUCUGGACUGCCAUAUGGACCGACGUAGCAUUUUUACCACCCCAUGACUACGAUCAGAAGAGGGAGCAAAUUACAUGCCUUAUCUGAUGUGGAAGGGACUGCCGGUCAACUUGAAGGACACCGAGCAGCUGUUUGUGUGCUUUGGGGAGUACCAUAAGCCGGCUUCGCUGUCUAAGGACUGGUUAGGCCACUGCCUAAAGGACGUGAUUACACAGGCAUACUCACAUGCAAGUCAAGAGACACAUUCUUCCAUUAAAAGUCAUUUCAUAUGUGCUAUGGAUACUUUUGUGGUGGUACUAAGCUGAGUGUCACUCUUGAAGCAGUGACAUCAUGCUCAACGUUCAUCUUCACCAGAUUUAACUGACUGAAUGUCGCUUCAUUGCACCCCAUGUACUC